This 207-nucleotide ribosomal RNA is filed under the name uncultured bacterium. RNAcentral describes it as "partial 16S ribosomal RNA". It matches the Rfam family "Bacterial small subunit ribosomal RNA", at positions 568 to 774 of the family's 1533-position model. The record is from RNAcentral.
CGCGUAGGCUGUUGAGUAAGUCAAAUGUGAAAUCCCCGGGCUUAACCUGGGAACUGCAUUCGAUACUGCUUAACUAGAGUAUGGUAAAGGGAAGUGGAAUUCCGGGUGUAGCGGUGAAAUGCGUAGAUAUCCGGAGGAACACCAGUGGCGAAGGCGACUUCCUGGGCCAAUACUGACGCUGAGGUGCGAAAGCGUGGGGAGCAAACA